AUGCAAGUCGAGCGCGAACCCCGCAAGGGGGGAGAGCGGCAAACGGGGUAGUAACGGGUAGGUGACGUACCCUCGGGUCGGGGAUAGCCACGGGAAACUGUGGGUAAUACCCGAUAAUCUCUCGAAGCGUGAUGGUUUCGGGAGCAAAGGUGUGAUUCCACCGGAGGAGCGGCCUGCUUCGUAUUAGCUGGUUGGCGAGGUAACGGCUCACCAAGGCGACGAUGCGUAGGGGGUGUGAGAGCAUGACCCCCACCACUGGGACUGAGAUACUGCCCAGACACCUACGGGUGGCUGCAGUCGAGAAUCUUCGGCAAUGGGCGCAAGCCUGACCGAGCGACGCCGCGUGUGGGAUGAAGGCCCUUGGGUUGUAAACCACUGUCAGAGGGGAUGAAGUGCAUGAGGGCAAUCUCUCAUGCUUGACAUAGCCUCAGAGGAAGCACGGGCUAAGUUCGUGCCAGCAGCCGCGGUAUACGAACUGUGCGAACGUUAUUCGGAAUCACUGGGCUUACAGGGUGCGUAGGCGGCUUGUUAAGUAGGGUGUGAAAGCCCCCGGCUCAACCGGGGAAUUGCGCCCUAAACUGGCGAGCUGGAGUGAGAUAGGGGUGUGUGGAACUUCCGGUGGAGCGGUGAAUGUGUUGAUAUCGGA
This 646-nucleotide ribosomal RNA is filed under the name uncultured soil bacterium. RNAcentral's name for it is "bacterial SSU rRNA". It matches the Rfam family "Bacterial small subunit ribosomal RNA", at positions 55 to 701 of the family's 1533-position model. The record is from RNAcentral.